Molecule: transfer RNA, 66 nt
Filed under: Bythites fuscus (Arctic brotula)
Lineage: Eukaryota; Metazoa; Chordata; Actinopteri; Ophidiiformes; Bythitidae
Description: tRNA-Pro
Source: RNAcentral
CCGGGGAAUAUUUAAUUUGAAGAUACUUACGUCGUGGAGUAGGAGUUAAAGUCUCCUUUCUUCUGA